ACGCUGGCGGCGUGCCUAAUACAUGCAAGUAGAACGCUGAAGAGAGGAGCUUGCUCUUCUUGGAUGAGUUGCGAACGGGUGAGUAACGCGUAGGUAACCUGCCUUGUAGCGGGGGAUAACUAUUGGAAACGAUAGCUAAUACCGCAUAACAAUGGAUGACACAUGUCAUUUAUUUGAAAGGGGCAAUUGCUCCACUACAAGAUGGACCUGCGUUGUAUUAGCUAGUAGGUGAGGUAACGGCUCACCUAGGCGACGAUACAUAGCCGACCUGAGAGGGUGAUCGGCCACACUGGGACUGAGACACGGCCCAGACUCCUACGGGGGGCAGCAGUAGGGAAUCUUCGGCAAUGGGGGCAACCCUGACCGAGCAACGCCGCGUGAGUGAAGAAGGUUUUCGGAUCGUAAAGCUCUGUUGUAAGUCAAGAACGAGUGUGGGAGUGGAAAGUUCACACUGUGACGGUAGCUUACCAGAAAGGGACGGCUAACUACGUGCCAGCAGCCGCGGUAAUACGUAGGUCCCGAGCGUUGUCCGGAUUUAUUGGGCGUAAAGCGAGCGCAGGCGGUUUGAUAAGUCUGAAGUUAAAGGCUGUGGCUCAACCAUAGUUCGCUUUGGAAACUGUCAAACUUGAGUGCAGAAGGGGAGAGUGGAAUUCCAUGUGUAGCGGUGAAAUGCGUAGAUAUAUGGAGGAACACCGGUGGCGAAAGCGGCUCUCUGGUCUGUAACUGACGCUGAGGCUCGAAAGCGUGGGGAGCGAACAGGGUUAGAUACCCUGGUAGUCCACGCCGUAAACGAUGAGUGCUAGGUGUUGGAUCCUUUCCGGGAUUCAGUGCCGCAGCUAACGCAUUAAGCACUCCGCCUGGGGAGUACGACCGCAAGGUUGAAACUCAAAGGAAUUGACGGGGGCCCGCACAAGCGGUGGA
Molecule: ribosomal RNA, 921 nt
Filed under: uncultured bacterium
Lineage: Bacteria
Description: bacterial SSU rRNA
Rfam family: Bacterial small subunit ribosomal RNA
Source: RNAcentral